Molecule: long non-coding RNA, 475 nt
Organism: Carassius gibelio (silver crucian carp)
Lineage: Eukaryota; Metazoa; Chordata; Actinopteri; Cypriniformes; Cyprinidae
Exons: 3
Source: RefSeq, a predicted model, not a curated record
AGAGGUUGAGGUGUGUACAAGGGACUAAGGCGCGUCCUUCUCGUUACAUCAUCAGCGCGAGCCCCAGACCGAGUGGAUCGAUCGAAAUGAAGGAGCAGAGACAUGCGGGUGAUGGAUCACAGACCGGCCAGAGGGUGUUCCUACCUCGUCUCCAAGCCAGCCUUGACUCCUUUACUAGUGGGUGGAAUAACCAUCCUCUCCGCACAUAGAGUAAUCGAAGCCCAGACCAGUUGUGGGAAAUUGGACUCCUGCAAAACCCUGUCACUCCUCCAGUCCUAUCUGAGAUUGCACAAGACGGCGACUCUGACUGGGACACAGACAGUAUCUCUGACCAGCCGUGGACAGGAAUUGUAGUUCCUCCAGUCAAAUGCCCCUUAACUUAAGAACUUAUAGGCCCAAAUUCAAACUUCUUUAACCCAAACUCACACUCUCAAAACUAUGGAAGAGACCAGUAUUUAUAAGUCUUAAAUUUUGU